RNAcentral lists this long non-coding RNA (549 nucleotides) under Pan troglodytes (chimpanzee). RNAcentral describes it as "lincRNA". The record is from RNAcentral. Lineage: Eukaryota; Metazoa; Chordata; Mammalia; Primates; Hominidae.
UUCUGCUUUAGAGCAUGUAUAAAAUUAGAGAUAACAAAAUGACACUUAAUAGAUGCUGGACAUGUAGAGGGAAAUGUAGCUUUUAAAGACAUUUUUCUUCUAUUCCUGGCAAAAGUAAGCGAGGGAAAGGUGAAUGUAGCAGGUACAAAUCACACAGGCAGAAAAUACAGAGGAAAGACCUAAAGCCUAACUCAAUUCUAUGUAUUUUAGUUAUGGAAAUCUGGCCAAGUCACUCCCCUCCUUGCAGGGAUUGUUAUUACUUUAUUAUGAAAAAAUUGAAACAGUUGUCUUCUCUACUGCACAGGGUUGUGGCAAAAACAAAAUGGCAUUGUGAAUGUAAAAGUUCAUUAAAAACUCUAAAAUGUGAUAGCAUAAUGUAAACCACUUUUUUUUUUUUUUUUUUUUUCCGAAACGGAGUCUCGCUCUGUCGCCCAGGCUGGAGUGCAGUGGCGCGAUUUCGGCUCACUGCAAGCUCCGCCUCCCAGGAGGAUGGCUUGAGCCCAGGAGUUCAAGACCAGCUGGGUCAACAAAGUAAGACCUCGUCUCAAC